This 516-nucleotide ribosomal RNA is filed under the name uncultured bacterium. RNAcentral describes it as "bacterial SSU rRNA". It matches the Rfam family "Bacterial small subunit ribosomal RNA", at positions 15 to 518 of the family's 1533-position model. The record is from RNAcentral.
GAUUCUGGCUCAGGACGAACGCUGGCGGCGUGCUUAACACAUGCAAGUCGAACGAGGUAUAGCAAGUGGAAGCUUCGGUGGAAACAUGCUAUUACCGAGUGGCGGACGGGUGAGUAACGCGUGAGCAACCUACCCUGCAACGGGGGACAACAGUUGGAAACGACUGCUAAUACCGCAUAAGACCACGAAACCGCAUGGUUUAGAGGUAAAGGAUUAAUUCGAUGCAGGAUGGGCUCGCGUCCCAUUAGAUAGUUGGUGAGGUAACGGCCCACCAAGUCAACGAUGGGUAGCCGACCUGAGAGGGUGAUCGGCCACACUGGAACUGAGACACGGUCCAGACUCCUACGGGAGGCAGCAGGUGGGGAAUAUUGGGCAAUGGGCGAAAAACGCCUCGACCCAGCAACGCCGCGUGGAGGGAAGAAGGUCUUCGGAUUGUUAAACCUUUGUCCUAGUGGGAACGAAACAAAUGACGGUACCAUAGGAGGAAGCUCCGGCUAACUACGUGCCAGCCGCCGC